AGUGAACGCUGGCGGUAGGCCUAACACAUGCAGGUCGAACGGCAGCACAGUAAGAGCUUGCUCUUACGGGUGGCGAGUGGCGGACGGGUGAGGAAUACAUCGGAAUCUACUUUUUCGUGGGGGAUAACGUAGGGAAACUUACGCUAAUACCGCAUACGACCUACGGGUGAAAGCAGGGGAUCUUCGGACCUUGCGCGAUUGAAUGAGCCGAUGUCGGAUUAGCUAGUUGGCGGGGUAAAGGCCCACCAAGGCGACGAUCCGUAGCUGGUCUGAGAGGAUGAUCAGCCACACUGGAACUGAGACACGGUCCAGACUCCUACGGGAGGCAGCAGUGGGGAAUAUUGGACAAUGGGCGCAAGCCUGAUCCACCCAUACCGCGUGGGUGAAGAAGGCCUUCGGGUUGUAAAGCCCUUUUGUUGGGAAAGAAAAGCAGCAGGUUAAUACCCCGCUGUUCUGACGGUACCCAAAGAAUAAGCACCGGCUAACUUCG
RNAcentral lists this ribosomal RNA (490 nucleotides) under uncultured bacterium. RNAcentral's name for it is "partial 16S ribosomal RNA". It matches the Rfam family "Bacterial small subunit ribosomal RNA", at positions 29 to 505 of the family's 1533-position model. The record is from RNAcentral.